Molecule: ribosomal RNA, 200 nt
Filed under: uncultured bacterium
Lineage: Bacteria
Description: partial 16S ribosomal RNA
Rfam family: Bacterial small subunit ribosomal RNA
Source: RNAcentral
AGAGUUUGAUCCUGGCUCAGGACAAACGCUGGCGGCGUGCGUAACACAUGCAAGUCGGACGGGGCCGUAGUUGUUGAGUGAUCAAGAGCUAUGGUCGAGUGGCGGACGGGUGAGUAACACGUGGAUAACCUGCCCUGGUGUGGGGGAUACCCUGUAGAAAUACGGGCUAAGACCGCAUAUGGUCGCUUUGGGGUCACCGG